UACAGAGGGUGCAAGCGUUGUUCGGAAUUACUGGGCGUAAAGCGCGUGUAGGCUGCGGAGUAAGUCGGAUGUGAAAUCCCUUGGCUUAACCAAGGAAGUGCAUCCGAUACUGUUUCGCUUGAGUGUCGGAGGGGAUGGCGGAAUUCCCGGUGUAGAGGUGAAAUUCGUAGAUAUCGGGAGGAACACCUGUGGCGAAGGCGGCCAUCCGGAUGACAACUGACGCUGAGACGCGAAAGCGUGGGUAGCAAACAGG
This 253-nucleotide ribosomal RNA is filed under the name uncultured bacterium. RNAcentral's name for it is "partial 16S ribosomal RNA". It matches the Rfam family "Bacterial small subunit ribosomal RNA", at positions 524 to 776 of the family's 1533-position model. The record is from RNAcentral.